UAGGGAAUCUUCGGCAAUGGACGAAAGUCUGACCGAGCAACGCCGCGUGAGUGAAGAAGGUUUUCGGAUCGUAAAACUCUGUUGUUAGAGAAGAACAAGGACGUUAGUAACUGAACGUCACCUGACGGUAUCUAACCAGAAAGCCACGGCUAACUACGUGCCAGCAGCCGCGGUAAUACGUAGGUGGCAAGCGUGGUCCGGAUUUAUUGGGCGUAAAGCGAGCGCAGGCGGUUUCUUAAGUCUGAUGUGAAAGCCCCCGGCUCAACCGGGGAGGGUCAUUGGAAACUGGGAGACUUGACUGCAGAAGAGGAGAGUGGAAUUCCAUGUGUAGCGGUGAAAUGCGUAGAUAUAUGGAGGAACACCAGUGGCGAAGGCGGCUCUCUGGUCUGUAACUGACGCUGAGGCUCGAAAGCGUGGGGAGCAAACAGG
Molecule: ribosomal RNA, 429 nt
Filed under: Gemmatimonadota bacterium
Lineage: Bacteria; Pseudomonadati; Gemmatimonadota
Description: Gemmatimonadetes bacterium partial 16S ribosomal RNA
Rfam family: Bacterial small subunit ribosomal RNA
Source: RNAcentral